This is a long non-coding RNA of Helianthus annuus (common sunflower), 704 nucleotides long. RefSeq lists it as uncharacterized. The transcript is spliced from 2 exons. The record is from RefSeq and is a predicted model, not a curated record. Lineage: Eukaryota; Viridiplantae; Streptophyta; Magnoliopsida; Asterales; Asteraceae.
UUUUUUGUCAUAGAAGCUGAAUAAUUGCUAAGAGUAAAAGAAAUAGAGUCCGGGCAAACAUAACUUUCAAUAUUAUACUUACCAUUACCAUGUAAUAAAGUUAUUUUUGGUUUAUAAUUACCAACUUGUUGAUUUUUAACAUCCUGGUACUUCUUGUGGUGUAUAUGUUGAUACAUAUGAUGACACGGGAAGAAAAAUUGAACAAAUGAAGAACUACAAGCCUACAGAGGAUGCCAAUGCUACGGUAGAUCAUUUUUUGGUUGUAAUGAAUAAAGAAAAUAUGGAUACCGCCGACUUUAUGGUAGAGGCGUUACAAAUACAUUAGUGAAAAAGGAAGAUGGUGCUUGCACAUCAUACAUGAUUCCGGAAGGGCUGAUGGAAUCAUUUAAAGCAAACGUUGAAGUUGAGAAAAACCUGUUGCUGGAAAUGCGUAAAGAGAUUGAAGAGGAUCUCGAAAGAAAAAACGCUGAGCUGGAAGCUAUGCAAAAAGACAUUGACAGCCAACAACAAGACUUGGAAGCUAUGAUGCAAAAAGUUAUGAAACGACUGCCUGUUGGAGAUUGAGAUGAGUAGAAUGUUUCCAUUUCUUUUUAUUAUUGUAUUGAAACUUUGUGUUGACAACAUUGUUAUUUAAGUUUGAACAAGUAUGUUAAAGUACACUAUUUCACUAUCAAUGAUAUUUGUCAUUAUUUGUUCUAGCGUAA